This 500-nucleotide non-coding RNA is filed under the name Nelumbo nucifera (sacred lotus). Its description in RNAcentral is "Eukaryotic large subunit ribosomal RNA". It matches the Rfam family "Eukaryotic large subunit ribosomal RNA", at positions 1892 to 2389 of the family's 3401-position model. The record is from Rfam by way of RNAcentral. Lineage: Eukaryota; Viridiplantae; Streptophyta; Magnoliopsida; Proteales; Nelumbonaceae.
UGGAACAAUGUAGGUAAGGGAAGUCGGCAAAAUGGAUCCGUAACCUCGGGAAAAGGAUUGGCUCUGAGGGCUGGGCACGGGGGUCCCGGUCCCAAACCCGUCGGUUGUCGGCGGACUGCUCGAGCUGCUCUCACGGCGAGAGCGGGUCGCCGGGUGCCGGCCGGGGGAUGGACCGGGAACGGCUCCCUCGGGGGCCUUCCCCGGGCAUCGAACAGCCAACUCAGAACUUGUACGGACAAGGGGAAUCCGACUAUUUAAUUAAAACAAAGCAUUGCGAUGGUCCUUGCGGAUGCUAUCGCAAUGUGAUUUCUGCCUAGUGCUCUGAAUGUCAAAGUGAAGAAAUUCAACCAAGUGCAGGUAAAUGGCGGGAGUAACUAUGACUCUCUUAAGGUAGCCAAAUGCCUCGUCAUCUAAUUAAUGACGCACAUGAAUGGAUUAACGAGAUUCCCACUGUCCCUGUCUACUAUCCAGCGAAACCACARMCAAGGGAACGGGCUUGS